AGUAGAGAUCCAAAUUCCUACCGCUCGCCACGCUGGUCGUUGUUACAAGGGCACUCAACGCAGCAAUCGACGAAAUUAUUCAACCUACCCACUCCAAGAUUCUGUUCAGAUAAGUCCUUAGCUUUAUAUUUGGUCAUUUGUAAAACAGAUUAGGUUCAGCAGUAGCGUGAGGAAAGAAAAAAAAAACUAUCUUUUACUUGUUUGUUUAUGCAUGUAUAACAUACCUAUAAUUUCCAUGUUGAGAUUUGCAACUCACUGUAACUCGAUGAAUACAUAGGUUGAUAAUCGGGUCAUGCUGAAUUGGUAAGUUGUUAAAAAGACAUUGACCAUACUACAAUCACGAACGAUGGGCGUCUCGGACGACGGAUUCGAAGCUUAACAAACAAGCGGGUGAUCGGUGUUAUAGCCCUGCGAAGGACAGAAGAUUUAGUUGAUGUGGACUCAAUAAGCUGAGUGUUGCCAACAGACACUGCUGGUAUCAAGAGGACAAAGAAGGGUGUUUACGAAAUAGUUACCAGAAGGUGGAGGUCGAAGCAGCGAUUCUGAAGCAAACCACUGAAGUCAAUACCAUGAAAAUCCUUGGGCAAUAAAUACUAUGGUGCAGGGAGACGGUGGCUGUAGUUAUUGUUGCUGUGGUCCUCCCCCAUUGCCACUACAGCACAGGAUGUACCUGUGGGGAGUGCCAUGUGGAGGUGGGAGGUGGAUUUGCCUUCCCUUCCUUGAAAAAGGACCUAGUACAAUAUCACAAGAUUGAAGAUGCUGCAGACCACCUCACGUUUAGGAAGGGAUCUACACUAAAGGUGUCUACAAGGGUAAUGAAGGUGGUGGACUGUCACUGCUCAUCCAGGAACAGCUAAUGGAAAACAGUUACAUCCCUACUUGGCAUCUCCCACAUCAAUCCCGUAUGGGGUUAACUCCUGCAGUGGGGACACAGUUAUUUGGUCUUCAUUGAGCAAGCCCCCUCUUCGUUUCUGGAAAGAAUGAAUGUGUGUGGAAGAGAAAACAAGGCAAGGCAAACCAAGAGGACUUCUCAUCACCCCAUCAUCAGCACCCUUCUCCAUUUCUUCUUUUUAUAUCACCUUCAUUCCUCCUGCUUGCUCUCUCCUCCUGCCCCCUCCUCCUCACUCUCUUAUCCUACCCGCCUCCCUUCUCUUCAUACUGCUUACACUUACUUUUCCCAUCUGUUCCCUUCCUCCUCUCCACAUGUUUCUUAGACUCUCUCUCUCUCUCUCUCUCUCUCUCUCUCUGAUUCCUUAUGAAAACCUGCCUUUCAGACUUUUAUAUAAUUUGUAAAGUAAAAUAUGAAAUCAAACUUUUUAAAUCUCCUCUCUCUCUGAUUCCUUAUGAAAACCUGCCUUUCAGACCUUUAUAUAAUUUGUACAAAUAAAAUAUGAAAUCAAAUUUUUUGAAUCCCAUUUUAAAAAAUUAUACUAAUAAAGAAUGAAAGUA
This is a long non-coding RNA of Scylla paramamosain (green mud crab), 1449 nucleotides long. RefSeq lists it as uncharacterized. The transcript is spliced from 4 exons. The record is from RefSeq and is a predicted model, not a curated record. Lineage: Eukaryota; Metazoa; Arthropoda; Malacostraca; Decapoda; Portunidae.